CAAUAAUUUUUUUUUUCAUAUUUAUAAUGAGUGAUGGACAAGAACUUCACACAGGAAAAAAUUAUCCCAAACCCCUGGGCCGUUUCUGAGAACCAGUGGAUGCGACUACCGCAAGCAGUCAGGUACAGCCUGAGCACAUAUUUUAAUUGGGAUCGAUAGAGGGAACAAUUCUAAGAUAUACUGUG
Molecule: long non-coding RNA, 185 nt
Organism: Bradysia coprophila
Lineage: Eukaryota; Metazoa; Arthropoda; Insecta; Diptera; Sciaridae
Source: RefSeq, a predicted model, not a curated record